Long non-coding RNA from Acanthochromis polyacanthus (spiny chromis), 370 nucleotides. RefSeq lists it as uncharacterized. The transcript is spliced from 3 exons. NCBI's taxonomy places the organism in Eukaryota, Metazoa, Chordata, Actinopteri, Pomacentridae. The record is from RefSeq and is a predicted model, not a curated record.
AUGUCUUCAGAUGGCUCCAUUUUCAGCACCAGCGUUACAUCCGGCGAAGGGAUGUCAAUUAUUAAUGUGCUGAAAUUGGCAAAGUCCAGGACUGUGCUGUUCUCCUGCCCAACGUCGAGCCUUGGUAAGUUCUCAACAGUAAUGACACUGCCAUUGGCUCUGGUGAGAGACACAGACCCUACAGUUCCUGUGAUGUUUCCUUUGCUCCAGGAAAAUGGAUUCUUCUCAAAACUCAUCAUCUGAGAGACUGGAGAGUUUGGACGGAGGCACUGGAGAUACUUUCCCGGACCUUGAGGAAGACAUACAAUGAAGCUGAUUAUUUAAUUAAUAAUUAAUAGGGAGAACUGAUUUCUCUAAUCCUCCUUUAUUC